CACGCGGGCAGAGCCCCCCGCGGGGCGCCGCCAGCCCUAGUCAGCCUUCCUGUUGCUUUUGUAGUCUCAGAAACCCUCCUCCUUCGCUGUCCUGCUUUCCAGAGCUCCACGUGCUCAGCCCCCACACUCUCGGAGGCACAUCAUUUGCUAUACAGAUGUGCAGAGGGGUGCCCACGACGUGCCGGGCGCGGCGGACACAACUGUCCUGUAUUCGUACACAUUUGUUCAGCAUGUCUACAGCGAGCGCUCCGUGUGUGCCAGAUGAGCUGGAAGGCAGAAGCUUGUGCAUCGUGUACUGAGAUCUUCAUUCAAAGGAGAGAUUGUUAUGCAAAUAUGUGACAUAUUUGGUAACUUUCCAGAUGGAAAAAGAAGUCUCACAUAAGAAAGGAGAAAGAACCUCCGAGCUGUCUUCCAUGAGCAUCACCAUUCCCAGUCCUGAACCUGACUGGAUCACAGUGAGAAUUGCCCUACCGGAGCCACCGAGUCCAGGCUACCCAGCUUGUUCUAGGAUGUGUCCUCCUCACUGUCUCCAUCCUCAUCAUCUUUCUGUUUUCGUGAUUCCACACUUGGCUUUCAAUGUUCACUUAAAGUGAGGUGAACAUAUAGGACCAAAAGAACCCCCCAGAUUUCUUAAAACUUUGAUGUAAUUUAUUAAUUGUAAAGUUUGUAGAUAUUAAGAAAUGAUGUGGGAUUUAUUUUUCCUUGUUGCCAUAUAUUCUUUAUGAUAACUGAACCACAGUUCAGAGAGAAAUAGCUUGUUGUUAAUUUCUUGUCAUUCUAAAAUUCAUUUAUUUAUUCUAUUGUC
This is a non-coding RNA of Peromyscus maniculatus bairdii (prairie deer mouse), 805 nucleotides long. NCBI's taxonomy places the organism in Eukaryota, Metazoa, Chordata, Mammalia, Rodentia, Cricetidae. The record is from RefSeq and is a predicted model, not a curated record.